GCCUCUUGCAACCCACAUAUAAGAGGUAACGCCUGCCCAGUGACCAUGUGUUCAACGGCCGCGGUAUUCUGACCGUGCAAAGGUAGCGUAAUCACUUGUCUUUUAAAUAAAGACUAGUAUGAAUGGCAUCACGAGAGUUCAACUGUCUCCCCCACCCAAUCAGUGAAACUGAUCUCCCCGUGCAGAAGCGGGGAUAAAACCAUAAGACGAGAAGACCCCAUGGAGCUUUAAACUAAAGGCACUAGCUCUUAAUUUACCCCAAGGACAAAACAUUAAACCAGUUAAAGUGACCUGUCGUUUUCGGUUGGGGCGACCACGGAGAAGAACAAAUCCUCCGAGAUGAAAGGGUAAACCCUUAGCCAAGACCCACAAUUCUAAGCAAUAGAACAUCUAACGCACCGAUCCAAUCAAAUUGAUCAACGAACCAAGUUACCCUGGGGAUAACAGCGCAAUCUAUUUUCAGAGUUCAUAUCGACAAAUAGGUUUACGACCUCGAUGUUGGAUCAGGGCCUCCUAGCGGUGCAGCCGCUGCUAAGGGUUCGUUUGUUCAACGAUUAAAGCCCUACGUG
This 569-nucleotide ribosomal RNA is filed under the name Bombina orientalis. RNAcentral describes it as "partial 16S ribosomal RNA". It matches the Rfam family "Bacterial large subunit ribosomal RNA", at positions 1818 to 2602 of the family's 2925-position model. Lineage: Eukaryota; Metazoa; Chordata; Amphibia; Anura; Bombinatoridae. The record is from RNAcentral.